Molecule: transfer RNA, 71 nt
Filed under: Trichobilharzia regenti
Lineage: Eukaryota; Metazoa; Platyhelminthes; Trematoda; Strigeidida; Schistosomatidae
Rfam family: tRNA
About the family: Transfer RNA (tRNA) molecules are approximately 80 nucleotides in length. Their secondary structure includes four short double-helical elements and three loops (D, anti-codon, and T loops). Further hydrogen bonds mediate the characteristic L-shaped molecular structure. tRNAs have two regions of fundamental functional importance: the anti-codon, which is responsible for specific mRNA codon recognition, and the 3' end, to which the tRNAs corresponding amino acid is attached (by aminoacyl-tRNA synthetases). tRNAs cope with the degeneracy of the genetic code in two manners: having more than one tRNA (with a specific anti-codon) for a particular amino acid; and 'wobble' base-pairing, i.e. permitting non-standard base-pairing at the 3rd anti-codon position.
Source: Rfam by way of RNAcentral
GAGUUGGUAGUUCAAUGGUAGAAUGCUGUUUAAACUCACACGCAUUCUGGGUUCGAUUCCUGGUCGACUUA